CGGCCUCUGUCCCCCUGGCGAUCCCCCCUGCAACUCCUCCACCACGGGCCAGAGACCCCCCUCUCCGGGUGGCAGACACGGGUGGCUUGUGCCGGCUGGAUUGAAGUAGAGAGGUGGCUACUUGCCGUUGGUGACAGUGUUUUGCUGCCGCUGGAGAAUCCAGACCACGUUGCUGGCCCAGUAAUCCAUUGCUCGACUUGAUUAACCACAGGAAGACAUUAAGUGAAUGAUUAUGUCAAAGUGACUCGCCCUGGAUGCUGUUUUCUCCCGUCAAUACAGCUCGUCUCCUCUCCUUAACCAUUGCAGGGAGGCCAACACAGGUAAGGAACCCACGAGCUGAAAACGGUCAAAUUGUUCAAGACUGUUGCAAACCCUCUUUUGAGAAGGCUUGCAUGUCUUACUUGUGGUCCCCUAAGAAGUGGACCCUGAGAUAAAGAUUUGAAAGUGAGCAGUUUGUUUGGGGAAUGAUGUUAGAAAACUCUAGUAGGAAAGCAGGAAAGUAAACAUGGUAAGGGAAGGCUACCAGCAUGUGGUGUGUUGUUAAGGAGGUGAUCACCAUGGAUGACAGAACUUAAUCCUGCUAGGACAUUCUGGGAGUCAGUGUAGCUUACGCACUUCCGAGAUACCCCUCCUCGAGGGCGAGAGAGCUGGGGUAUUGAUCUAUCAGUGCCUGUCAGUCAUCAGAUGGGGGCUGUCCUUGGCUUUCUCUGCAGGCAAAGAGCCCCCGGUGCUGGGCAUUAACUUGGAGUAUGAAGAAAUGAGCAGGGCACCAGACCAGGUAGGCGUCCAGGAAGAAAGAUAAGUAUAGAUUUGAAAUCAAGCAGACCUGCACUAUUUGUUUGUUUGUUUGUUUGAGAGAGUCAUUGCAUGCCUGUGAGGUGAGGGAGGAGGGGCAGCUCAAGGGGGAGAGAGAGAAUCUUCAAGCUGACUCCAUGCCUAGAAUGGAGACCAAUGUGGACCUUGCUCCAUCUCAGGACCCUGAGAUCACAACCCGCGCUGAAAUCAAGAGUCGGACGUUUAAAUGCUGAGUCACUGAGGCGCCCAGAACUGCAUCUUAAGAGGUAUUUUCACUACUUACCAAGACUAUGAUCUUGGACAAGGUAUUCAGCCUCUCUGAGCUUUAGUUUUCUCAUCUGUGAAAUGGGGAUAAUUAUGUAUACCACUGAUUUCAUUAGGGGCACAGACAGGAAUUUUGAGCUAAUGUAAAAUCCAUGGCAUGACGCCCCACAUUUUUAGCUUUUUCAUUAUUUUCUAAGUAUUUGUUGAUUGAGUAUUGUUUACAGAGCGCUGUUAGAUUUUUACGUGAGGUCUAAUCUAAUCCGUUCGGAGGGACAAAAGGAAUCCCAGCUCAAUCCUCUACUUGUGCAAGAGCACCCGUUUAUAGAAGCGGGUGAAGGAGUCUGGAUCCUCAUGCAGAAAGCGUGACUGUAUGCUUAAAGUCAAGCCCUGGGCAGCAGAGAGCUCCCGCCAGUACCCUCUUCCCUCCACAGUCCUGUCCUCUUUUCCCACUAACUUCAUUAAGCACCCGCUCCAGGCCAGGCAGCAGAGAAUAAAGCCCCUGUGAGGCUCUUGGGGAACCUAAGAGUCUAGAGGAAAGAAAAGCAAGUUACAGUGAUGAUAAGAGUCGCUAACGUUUAGGAAGCCCUUGGUGCUACGCACUGUUCUAGGCACUUGACAAUAUGAGCUUAUUAAUCCCUUAAAACAAUUCCACGAGGUAAAGUGCUCUUGUUGUGCCCGUUUUACAUACGAGGAAACCGAGGCACAGGGCAGGUAGGAGACAGCACAUGGGGAAGGUGGUUCAACCCUUCCAGCUAUGACUGUAGCUCAAGUGCUUCCCCACCACGCGUCACUCAGUCUUAAUGCUGUGGUCACAUCACACUGGCUAAUUAUCCCAUGACUUCCCUGUUCCUAUUCUGUGGCUUUAGAAUCCCUGUGCUUGAGCCUGCCUGUGGCCUCCUAGGGAGAGUAAAAGCAGAUUCCCAGGCUCCAUCUCCAGAGCUCCUGCUUUAGUAAGUCCGGGUGGGGCUUGAGAAUGUGUAUUUCUAGCAAGCUCCAAGAGGGCACCGAGGCUGGAUAUCCACCGACCCCACUUUUUGAGCUGCUUGGUUUCCAGCACAGGUGUUUUCUUUUUUUCUCCCAGGGGACACAUGACAAAGUCUAGAAUCAGUUCUGAUUCACAGUUCAGGGGGUCGAGACUGGCAUCUAGUGGGUGGAGGGCUGGGAUGAUGCCGGACCAACCCCCCUAACCCCAGGGAGCCCAGGAAAUGCCCUCACAAACAAAAACUAACCCAGCCCAAAAUGUCAAGGGGGCCAAGGUUGAGAACACCGGUGUGGGGCACAGCCCCCCAAAUGUUAACAUAGCGAGGGGUCAUCUGGGGAUCUGGCUUGAAACACAGAU
Molecule: long non-coding RNA, 2398 nt
Organism: Lutra lutra (Eurasian river otter)
Lineage: Eukaryota; Metazoa; Chordata; Mammalia; Carnivora; Mustelidae
Exons: 3
Source: RefSeq, a predicted model, not a curated record